This is a long non-coding RNA of Passer domesticus (house sparrow), 3549 nucleotides long. RefSeq lists it as uncharacterized. NCBI's taxonomy places the organism in Eukaryota, Metazoa, Chordata, Aves, Passeriformes, Passeridae. The record is from RefSeq and is a predicted model, not a curated record. The transcript is spliced from 3 exons.
UUGCAUGUAGUUUUCUCAAUCCAUGAGUUUACCAGUUUUACCCUUCCAAAUCUCUCCCUUAUCCCAUGGAGGGGGAGUGAGUGAGUGUGUGGGGCUUAGUUGCUGGCUGGAUUAAAACCACAACAGUUCUCCAGACAGUGCAUGUGAAACAGGCUGAGGCAUUUCUGUAUGGUGCUUGUAAGACCGAUCAAGAACUUGAAAAUGCUUUCCAUUCUUCACUUUCUUGCUUGCUCUCUCCAGCUGUUUCAUUUCUCUUGUCUAAGAAAUUUGGGAGUCUGCAGGGCUUUUUGCACAGCCACAAACCCAAGAAGCUGCUGAGGACCAAGUCACCUCCUCUUGUAUCUACAAACUGCACAGGAAGACCCAUGUCCGAUGCCAAGCUGCAGCAGCGAUGUCAGGACACCUCCAGAGAAAGGUGAUAAAACCAUCUGCUCUUCCCAGGGUGAGCACUCCGUGCCUGGCCCAAGGCUCCUCCUGCAAGUGGCUAUCCCAUUCCACCAGUCCUGGCUAUGUCUCAACUGCAGGCUGCAGGUGUGGAAGAGCCGGUGCAUGCAGGAGUCUCCAGUGCCCUGGACACAUGGAUGGGGAUCAAAGGCCAGAACUGUUUUCAAACUCAAUUAAACCCAGAAACUCAGCAUGCCCCAGAACAUCAAGACUAAGGAGGAGUGUGUGAAAACAAGGGAAAAAGGACAUUUGAAAGUCACACCAGAACUGAAGAUUCUGCAAUAAGUGCCAGUGGCGCUGGAGAAAGCAGUGACACUUACAGAAUAUCCCUAAAUACAGGCAAGACUAAGAGAAAGAGCCAACACUGGGAGCAAGAGGAAAAGAGCCUUCUUGAACAAAGGUAGAGGCAGAUCUGGGCGAGCCAGCUGGAAAAAAACUCUAGUUCUUUUAGGUGAUUAUUCACAUGAGCAUCAUUCAUGAGUUCACACAUUCAGCGUGACUGAGGAGUACUGCAGCUAAAGAGGAGGCAUGUGUACACAGUCAUUUUUAAUCAGAUGCAGCUACUUGAUGUAUCAUGUCUGAUAACUGACCACAGAAUUAUGACUGCAAGUUCAGACAUGUAACUGCUCAUUCCUCAACUUCUGGGAAAGAGUGACCUGAGACAUGAAAUCUAUGAGGGCAGAUGCAGAGUCAAACUCUAAUUUAAAUUUAUUACUAGAUGGCACUGGCACCACAAGAGCUGUUAACCUCUGUUGCUGCUGUUCAAGAGAAAACUAAAAGCAAGCCUGCUCAACUUGCUGCAGGCUGAAGUUCCAGUCACUGGGAUUUACAGAUUUGCAGAGGCAGACCCUCUGGGUCUUCUCUUUUGGCUGCAAGAAGUGGCCUCUCCAUUAAUGUGCUGGGGGAAUUCCACUUUACACCAAACAUUCCUUGUGGCAUCUUUAGGAGAGCUCAGCUGGGCUGGGAGCUGCUCAGAUGGAAAUAUGACACUGACAGGCACCACUUUCGAGGGUGAGGAUAUGUGGGCAGGGUUAUCCACGAAAAGAGAAUAAAACCUUAGAAGUUGUGGGAAAGAGCUGAGAGUUGCUUUUCAUGAUGUCUCAUGAGGUGGAUUUCAUAACUUGUGUUGCUCCGUGGAAGUUAAGAGCCCAGCUGCAGACUGUGUCCAGUUCAAGCUCAGCCAGGGGAGAGGGUGGCUGGGACAUCGUAUCCUUGUCACUCCGAUCUCAUGGAGUUGGAGAGCAGGACAGAGCGAGCUGUAUGGGCUGCUGCUGGAAGCUUGGAUGCAGUCCCUUUCCAGGGCAGUGGGAGAAGUCUGUGAUAAGUGCAUUUUCACAGUUGACAGCAGCUCAAAUCAAAUUUCACCACCCUUUUACCUUGAGCGAUUUAGUCAUCCUAAAGUGUUGUGCUAACACAGCCUGCUGCCAACAGGCAGCUCCUCCUCCCUUUUCCCAGGGGGGAGAACACACAUUACAGCCACUGGUCCUUACAUUCCCCUCAAAAUGCUCAUUUCUCCACCAUGUCUGGAUCUAUUAAAAAAUGCCAUUUUCAUGAAUGCAGCACUACAGCAGCGAGGGAACAGGGAUGGAUGGGGUUGGACACAAGGGCUCCAAAAGAGACUUCAGGAGAGCAUGAUGGGGCUGGGCCCCAGCUCCAGGAAGGGAUGAAAUGCCAGCCUGGCUGGCCAACAGAGCUCUCAGCACUUGGCCCCUUCUUCCUGCUCCUCCACCAGGGAUGUGGGGUGGGAAGCUACAGUUUUGGAGGCAGGAGACUGCUGUGUCUGCAGCUUGUGGAGGUUGUACCUGAUGUAAGAGCUCCCUGGGGCAGCUCCAGUUGAGCAAUGACUGCAGAGAGCCCUCUGUGACCACAGGUAUGUCAGAGUAACUGCAGGAGGUAGUUUUACAUCAUCUGUGGGUCUGGCCCAACUUAUUUAACAGGUUUCUAAAAUAUUCCAUGUCUACACAGCAAGUAAUAAAAGUGACUAACUUCUAUUUCUUUCACAGGGUGAGCUUAAACAAGGUUGGCAAGGGGUUUUACAGGUGUCAAAUUGCUUCUGUGCACUCAUACAUAAGUGUCAGGUAUAACAAUAAUUGUUUGAGUUGGUUUUUUAUUUUUACACAGUCAUAAAGUUGUAACUUAUUGCACAGCAGUCCUUUCUUCCAGGGCAUCUCACAGUGCUGGCUAUGCUCCUAGGGAGAGAGAAAGAAGGCUUUAAAAUAUUUGUUUCCAAUUUAUUUGCAAAACCUGUCUGAAAAUACAUGACAUUUCACUAAGGAUUUUUGAAUCACUAGAAUAUGGAGUAAAAUCUAGCGGGAUAUUUCUUACACUUAAAUCAAGACAUUCUUUCAAAAAACCCCAUCCAGUCUGUGAAUUUGUGGGAAAAGAAAAUCUGAAAGUGAGCUUCGUAGCUUAUUUCAGUUCUUAGCAGGACCAUUUUCAGGGGUAGAAGGGUGAAUUUCCUUUUGACUCCAUGCCUCAAUCAGCUUCUCACAGAGUGCAUUUGUAAAGAUCAUGAGAGUUUUCAUAAAACAAGAGGGAUAAAUGGCAUUGAAAUGUUCUCCAGUUCAUAGGUCCUAAGGCUAGAUUUACACAUCAGCAUCUGAGAAAGGGGAGGAGUGGACUGUGGAGAUAUUCACCAGCCUUGCAUUAUCAUUGGCUUUGGAGUGGAGAUUGAACCUGAUAAUCCUGUAUUGCGUGUUGUGUGGGGUGCCUGGUGUCAUCAGGUGCUCCUGGUUUAUUUCCUAAUAAAUCUUGUCACAUAACUGUUCUUUGCAACCGUGUCUUGGCAUAGCCACUGGGGCUUGUUGGCUGACAGAAAAGGAGGCUUAAAAGGGCUUGGAGGACAAGGCUCUGUAAAGAAACACACUCAGAUUUUCCUCAUGAAAGUUUCUGUCAUCUGCUGCAUGGGCUAGUCUGUGCAACCCACCUGUCCUCCCUCAGAAGUUGGACAUCCAGGGUGAGUGGUCUCCUUUAAAUGAGUAUGGUGAGACAUUCCAAGACCAGAUUAAACUGCUUCCCAAGCCUAAAGGGCUGCAUAGGAAGGACCUCAGAUAUAUCUCUUACCUGUGAAGGCUGCCCAUAACACCCUGUUCUGUUUUCAGAGAU